This 253-nucleotide ribosomal RNA is filed under the name uncultured bacterium. Its description in RNAcentral is "partial 16S ribosomal RNA". It matches the Rfam family "Bacterial small subunit ribosomal RNA", at positions 524 to 776 of the family's 1533-position model. The record is from RNAcentral.
UACGUAGGGUGCAAGCGUUAAUCGGAAUUACUGGGCGUGAAGUGUGCGCAGGCGGUUGUGCAAGACAGAUGUGAAAUCCCCGGGCUUAACCUGGGAAUGGCAUUUGGGACUGCAAGGCUUGAGUUUGGCAGAGGAGACUGGAAUUCCUGGUGUAGCAGUGAAAUGCGUAGAUAUCAGGAGGAAUACCGAUGGCGAAGGCAGGUCUCUGGGCUAGAACUGACGCUCAUGCACGAAAGCGUGGGGAGCAAACAGG